Triticum aestivum (bread wheat) is the source of this 1947-nucleotide RNA transcript. RefSeq lists it as uncharacterized. NCBI's taxonomy places the organism in Eukaryota, Viridiplantae, Streptophyta, Magnoliopsida, Poales, Poaceae. The transcript is spliced from 3 exons. The record is from RefSeq and is a predicted model, not a curated record.
CCGUAGUAAGAGUAGUUUGGACGCACGGCAUUGAAUUCGACCGGACUGGGCGUGCUGCUGCUUCUCGGCUUCUCCCCUCUUUCCCCCUCUCCAUUCCGGAGCCGGAUCCUCCUCCGUUUCGUUUGUAUCUCAUCUGUUCUGCUCUGCUGCCGCUCUGAUCUGUAGAUCUGGGAGGAUCAGAGUCAGACAUUGGGGUUUUGUGACUAGACUAGAAGGAGCGCGUUAAUGUUGCAAGAACUGGUGCGUGCGGCAAUGGCGGCCGCGCCCGGGGACGUUCCGCCGCCCUUGGCCACCCCUGCUCUUCUUCCGCAGGCCAAAAGUGUUAAGGAAGACCCGAGUUUUCCCCAAGCCUCGCCGGUGGUUCCGGCCAUGACGCUUCCGCCCGACCUCGUCCGCCGCGUCGGCGACUCCCUCCUGUCCACCAACGACAUCGACUGCUACAUUCACUUCCGCGCCGUUUGCCCCGGCUGGCGCGCCGCCACCGACGACCCCAUGAGGGACACCUCCGACCCCCGCUUCCAGCCGCGCCGGUGGAUCGUCCUCGACGAGGACUUCCAGAGCGAAGGGAAGCUGCUCCUGCUGAACACUGAAAGCGGCCGCUUCCUCCACAGAAAGCUCCCGCUGCUCAGCGACCACUACGUCGUCGCCACAACUCGCAAUGGCUACUUGGUCCUGGCGGACAAAAGCCCUCCUCACUCUGCCAGCGUCCUCAACCCUCUCACCGGCGUCGUCAUCCGUUUCAUGGCGCCUGUGCCCCCCGAGGUGGGAUACGCUGCUGUCUCCUUUGCCAACUCUGCCCUCAAGCUCACCUUGUUCGCCGACUCAUCUCACGAGAUUUACUCGGCCUAUCCCGACAAUAAGAGUUCCGUCGUCCACAAGGUUCAGCAAGCAGCUUAUGUUUUCUUCCGUAAUGCGCUCGUGGGCGGUGUCUACACAAACACUAUAGGGCUUGUCGUGAUUGCUCGUUUAUGCAGAUUGCUGAUGACUCCAGAUGCAAACCACCUUUGUUUUCCAGUGGCUUUGGGUAGAGAAAUGCUGCUUGUCGGGAGUGCAGAGGUAUCGUUCUUUAUUUUUAAAACAGACAAAGACUUUAAGAUGGAGGAUGUGGAUACCAUCAACAACUAUGCCAUUUUCAUUGGUCAUCAGAGGUGCCUGGCUGUCGAUGCUGAUAAGUUCUUAGGCAUUGAGGCAAACUGCAUCUACUACACUGAAAAUCUGGGUUCGUCCGCUCGUACUCCCUCCGUCCGGAAAUACUUGUCAUCAAAAUGAAUAAAAGGGGAUGUAUCUAGAUGUAUUUUAGUUCUAGAUACAUCCCUUUUUGUCCAUUUUGAUGACAAGUAUUUUCGGACGGAGGGAGUAUAUGCAAGUGCGACAUCAAGGACAGAAAAGUAGAGAAGAUCUCUGAAACUGCCGAUUUCAUCAAGAAGGACAAGAAGUUUGUCCUCGUUGCUGACCGUCCUUCGACGAUCAUCCACCUUCUCUCCAGCUACACCAUCAACAUCCCGGACUCUCAGCUGGCCUUGCAACAGAUUCCAUAAGGCGCCGGCAGAUCUUCGUUCGACUCUGAGGAUCUCGAUGACCGACUGACAAGGCUAUGCUUUCAAUAAAGGAUACACUUGAAACUCUGAAGGAAUGCUUCGUCCGCAGCUUCAUGGACCUUCUCCUAUGAAUAUACUGCCAGAUCCACCAAGCAAUGACCCAAGAUUUAUCUCAUUUUUAUGGAGCCCCUAGAAUCCAUUCUGCCCAUUUGAUGCCAUUGUGAAGCACCUAUAUUUUCUGGUGAUGCUGAAAUUCUGAAAUUAUUUCUAGACACUCUCGUAUAUAUGCAUAUAAAGCAUAUAUAAGCAAAAGCUUGGACCCAGACUUUGCUCUAGUUUGGAGCAGAGCACCCAAAACCCCCCCUGUCCUUUUUGGCGCUUUGUGAAACAAGUGUAUUUUUCACCGACC